CCUUCUUUGGUUCUGUUAGCACUCUUCAUGCCUGACAUGACGGGAGACAAAAGAUUGAGGCAGGACAUGAGGAUCCAUGUGGCUUUGGUAGAGCCUGAAGUCCAAGCAGAAAAUGGCAGCUAAACAUCUUCAACCUUCAGUGAUUGAUACGAAGAUUGUGAAGACAAUCCAUGUAAACACUUAGCAGAGUUUGGAACAUGGUAAACUGAAGGAGGAAGGGAGGAUUUCCUGUGAAAACAAUGUGUAACCCCGCUCAUCUGGUUAAUGUGUUUGGCUGGAUUCAACGUAACCAAAUGAAAAGGAAGAAUAGGAAAAAAAAAAUUGGUGAUAAGACAACUUCACAGAGGAGAAACUGGCCACCCAGCGAGAGGAGAAACCAAAGCAGUGUCCAGUUACUGAGAGAUGGAGAGACACGCAAUGGAUUAAGAAAGAGAGAAAGUGUCAUGAGCUAAGAAUAGAGAGACAAGCAUGGUCAAGAUGAAGUGUGGUCUUCUAGGGCACGUCAAGACUUUAUUUGAAAGUCAAUAGGAAGCCACGAAAGGUUUUAAGCAGUUCUUAGUUUGUGAUUUAUUCCUUUUUACUCUGAGGAGAUGUUCUCCAUAGGCUCAGUGAGUGAAAGUAGUGGUUUGGUCAAGGAUGAUGACAAUAAAAAUGGAAAGAAGUGAGUGAAUUUGAGAAAUAUUUAGAUUUGCAUUUUUUCUAUCAGCAGAGACCAACCUAAAAACCAUAGCGUGUGUUUUACAAUGUGGGCAGCUUGGUUUCUCAUACUAUCAUAUUCCACAUUCUUCCACAUUUCCAGUGGAUAAUUUCCCCCCUAUGGACUAUUAAACAACUUAGUGGAUGGUAUGGUUACGGAUAUUAACAUCGGAUGGUCUGUGCAGACUAUUCUAUA
Canis lupus familiaris (dog) is the source of this 892-nucleotide long non-coding RNA. RefSeq lists it as uncharacterized. The record is from RefSeq and is a predicted model, not a curated record. NCBI's taxonomy places the organism in Eukaryota, Metazoa, Chordata, Mammalia, Carnivora, Canidae. The transcript has 4 exons.